UACGAAGGUGGCAAGCGUUACUCGGAAUUACUAGGCGUAAAGGGCAGGUAGGUGGUUUGGUAAGUCUGUUGUGAAAGCUCCUUGCUUAACGGGGAGAGGUCAACAGAUACUGCCAGGCUUGAGUCUAGGAGAGGGUACUGGAAUUCCCGGUGUAGCGGUGAAGUGCGCAGAGAUCGGGAGGAACACCAAUGGCGAAAGCAGGUACCUGGACUAGUACUGACACUCAGCUGCGAAAGCUAGGGGAGCAAACAGG
This 253-nucleotide ribosomal RNA is filed under the name uncultured bacterium. RNAcentral's name for it is "partial 16S ribosomal RNA". It matches the Rfam family "Bacterial small subunit ribosomal RNA", at positions 524 to 776 of the family's 1533-position model. The record is from RNAcentral.